This 447-nucleotide ribosomal RNA is filed under the name uncultured bacterium. Its description in RNAcentral is "partial 16S ribosomal RNA". It matches the Rfam family "Bacterial small subunit ribosomal RNA", at positions 29 to 523 of the family's 1533-position model. The record is from RNAcentral.
AACGAACGCUGGCGGCAGGCCUAAAACAUGCAAGUCGAACGAACCUUCGGGUUAGUGGCGCACGGGUGAGUAACACGUGGGAAUGUGCCUCCGGGUGCGGAACAACGUCGGGAAACUGACGCUAAUACCGCAUAAUGUCUACGGACCAAAGAUUUAUUGCCCAGAGAUCAGCCCGCGUCUGAUUAGCUAGUUGGUGAGGUAAUGGCUCACCAAGGCGACGAUCAGUAGCUGGUCUGAGAGGAUGAUCAGCCACACUGGAACUGAGACACGGUCCAGACUCCUACGGGAGGCAGCAGUUAGGAAUAUUGGACAAUGGGGGCAACCCUGAUCCAGCCAUGCCGAGUGUGUGAAGAAGGCCUUAGGGUUGUAAAGCACUUUCGGCUGUGAAGAUAAUGACAGUAGCAGAAGAAGAAGCUCCGGCUAAAUUCGUGCCAGCAGCCGCCGUAA